RNAcentral lists this ribosomal RNA (699 nucleotides) under Salmonella enterica. Its description in RNAcentral is "partial 16S ribosomal RNA". It matches the Rfam family "Bacterial small subunit ribosomal RNA", at positions 1 to 689 of the family's 1533-position model. Lineage: Bacteria; Pseudomonadati; Pseudomonadota; Gammaproteobacteria; Enterobacterales; Enterobacteriaceae. The record is from RNAcentral. RNAcentral also lists the same sequence under 2 other names.
AAAUUGAAGAGUUUGAUCAUGGCUCAGAUUGAACGCUGGCGGCAGGCCUAACACAUGCAAGUCGAACGGUAACAGGAAGCAGCUUGCUGCUUUGCUGACGAGUGGCGGACGGGUGAGUAAUGUCUGGGAAACUGCCUGAUGGAGGGGGAUAACUACUGGAAACGGUGGCUAAUACCGCAUAACGUCGCAAGACCAAAGAGGGGGACCUUCGGGCCUCUUGCCAUCAGAUGUGCCCAGAUGGGAUUAGCUUGUUGGUGAGGUAACGGCUCACCAAGGCGACGAUCCCUAGCUGGUCUGAGAGGAUGACCAGCCACACUGGAACUGAGACACGGUCCAGACUCCUACGGGAGGCAGCAGUGGGGAAUAUUGCACAAUGGGCGCAAGCCUGAUGCAGCCAUGCCGCGUGUAUGAAGAAGGCCUUCGGGUUGUAAAGUACUUUCAGCGGGGAGGAAGGUGUUGUGGUUAAUAACCGCAGCAAUUGACGUUACCCGCAGAAGAAGCACCGGCUAACUCCGUGCCAGCAGCCGCGGUAAUACGGAGGGUGCAAGCGUUAAUCGGAAUUACUGGGCGUAAAGCGCACGCAGGCGGUCUGUCAAGUCGGAUGUGAAAUCCCCGGGCUCAACCUGGGAACUGCAUUCGAAACUGGCAGGCUUGAGUCUUGUAGAGGGGGGUAGAAUUCCAGGUGUAGCGGUGAAAUGC